CUGGUAGUUCAGUUGGUUAGAAUACCUGCCUGUCACGCAGGGGGUCGCGGGUUCGAGUCCCGUCCAG
RNAcentral lists this transfer RNA (67 nucleotides) under Flavobacterium frigoris PS1. RNAcentral describes it as "tRNA-Asp". It matches the Rfam family "tRNA". Rfam says of the family: Transfer RNA (tRNA) molecules are approximately 80 nucleotides in length. Their secondary structure includes four short double-helical elements and three loops (D, anti-codon, and T loops). The record is from RNAcentral. Lineage: Bacteria; Pseudomonadati; Bacteroidota; Flavobacteriia; Flavobacteriales; Flavobacteriaceae.